This 342-nucleotide unclassified non-coding RNA is filed under the name soil metagenome. RNAcentral describes it as "partial contains 5.8S ribosomal RNA, internal transcribed spacer 2, and large subunit ribosomal RNA". The stretch from base 4 to 119 matches the Rfam family "5.8S ribosomal RNA", at positions 39 to 154 of the family's 154-position model. The record is from RNAcentral.
GAUAAGAACGCAGCGAAAUGCGAUAAGUAAUGUGAAUUGCAGAAUUCAGUGAAUCAUCGAGUUUUUGAACGCAUAUUGCGCCCCCUGGUAUUCCGGGGGGCAUGCCUGUUCGAGCGUCAUUAAAUAACCCUCAAGCAUAGCUUGGUGUUGGGCUUUUUUACGUCCUUGACUGGGAUGGGCCUAAAAAUUAGUGGCGAUGGCUUUUUUACUUUCAAGCGUAGUAAAUCUCGUCUUGCUAAAGAGGAAAAAGAUUUUUUUUCUGCCAAAAAUUUUAACAUUUAAAGUUGACCUCGGAUCAGGUAGGAUUACCCGCUGAACUUAAGCAUAUCAAUAAGCGGAGGA